RNAcentral lists this ribosomal RNA (467 nucleotides) under uncultured bacterium. RNAcentral describes it as "partial 16S ribosomal RNA". It matches the Rfam family "Bacterial small subunit ribosomal RNA", at positions 28 to 507 of the family's 1533-position model. The record is from RNAcentral.
GACGAACGCUGGCGGCGUGCUUAACACAUGCAAGUCGAACGGAAAGGCCUCUUUCGGGGGGUACUCGAGUGGCGAACGGGUGAGUAACACGUGAGUAACCUGCCCUUGACUUUGGGAUAACUUCAGGAAACUGGGGCUAAUACCGGAUAGGAGCUCCUGCUGCAUGGUGGGGGUUGGAAAGUUUCGGCGGUUGGGGAUGGACUCGCGGCUUAUCAACUUGUUGGUGGGGUAGUGGCUUACCAAGGCUUUGACGGGUAGCCGGCCUGAGAGGGUGACCGGCCACAUUGGGACUGAGAUACGGCCCAGACUCCUACGGGAGGCAGCAGUGGGGAAUAUUGCACAAUGGGUGGAAGCCUGAUGCAGCAACGCCGGGUGCGGGAUGACGGCCUUCGGGUUGUAAACCGCUUUCGCUCAUGACGAAGCUUUGUGUGACGGUAGUGGGUAAAGAAGCACCGGCUAACUACGUG